UCAGCUGUAUUAGUAUUACAAACUAUAUAUAUCGAACGUAUUUGCUAGCUUCUUUUGUUGACAUUUCACUUGUUACGUGGCUGUUAACAGCGGGUAGCGAGACCUGGCACGCCGAGCAAGCACUGAUUCUUAAGCGAGCGGCUCCUGUCCUCACGGCAGUUACAACUCGGUCUCAGCAAAGGUCGGAAUGAACAGAACUCAUUGUAAUGAGAUGACCCAGCGGCGGCAGGGGCGAGGGACACUUGCCAGUGCCUGCCCCUGGUAAGAAGCUACGGCUCUGUACCAGGGGCAGGUACCCAACCUUCCGUCUCCCCGAUUGACAUGUGGCUGCUCGACCCCUGCACGGAUCCCGGACUCUCCCUGGCAACUGACUCUUAUGCCCCCCGCCCCUCCCGCUCAGCCUCCAGGAGCAAACGUCAGCCGAACAUCGUUCCUGUCAGCCCUACAUACACCCCUCUGCUCUCGGAUGCAGCUUUUCCUAUACGCGAGCGAACCGAAAGAGAUCACCUUCAGUUAUCGUGAUCAUUUCUCCGCAUUAUAUAUUGUGAAGAUUUUUUGGAAUCUUCUGUAAGUUUAUAUUUCAGCUAGUUUACUAUUCCAGGAAGAGUAAACUCACGGAAGCGAUAUCGCAUCUUAGUGUAUCAAUUUACUCCCCAUCAUGAACAUGUUGCUUGUAUCAAGCAUCCAUUUAAAAGUUGUUUCCCUCAUACUCUCUCGGUCGCCGAUGUUACUAGAUGACGUGGCAUUCAACUACAUACUGUGAUACCCUGUAUUGAUUUGAUGUAUUGGUGAUGUUUCUUGAUAUAUCUUUUCCUCUUUGCUCUGAGCACUGUGUUGUAUUUAAAGUGCAAUAUGUUAUGCUGCUGCAUAUGAGGCAAAUGAGACUUGUUUCCAUCACGAUUCAAUAAAUUUUAUUUUAAUAAA
Molecule: long non-coding RNA, 924 nt
Organism: Penaeus chinensis
Lineage: Eukaryota; Metazoa; Arthropoda; Malacostraca; Decapoda; Penaeidae
Exons: 2
Source: RefSeq, a predicted model, not a curated record